RNAcentral lists this ribosomal RNA (304 nucleotides) under uncultured bacterium. RNAcentral's name for it is "partial 16S ribosomal RNA". It matches the Rfam family "Bacterial small subunit ribosomal RNA", at positions 506 to 807 of the family's 1533-position model. The record is from RNAcentral.
CAGCAGUCGCCACGGUAAUACGGAGGGUGCAAGCGUUAUCCGGAUUUAUUGGGUUUAAAGGGUCCGUAGGCGGAUCUGUAAGUCAGUGGUGAAAUCUCACAGCUUAACUGUGAAACUGCCAUUGAUACUGCAGGUCUUGAGUAAAUUUGAAGUGGCUGGAAUAAGUAGUGUAGCGGUGAAAUGCAUAGAUAUUACUUAGAACACCAAUUGCGAAGGCAGGUCACUAAGAUUUAACUGACGCUGAUGGACGAAAGCGUGGGGAGCGAACAGGAUUAGAUACCCCUGUAGUCCCUGUCUCUUAUAC